This 569-nucleotide non-coding RNA is filed under the name Beta vulgaris subsp. vulgaris (sugar beet). RNAcentral's name for it is "Bacterial large subunit ribosomal RNA". It matches the Rfam family "Bacterial large subunit ribosomal RNA", at positions 981 to 1526 of the family's 2925-position model. Lineage: Eukaryota; Viridiplantae; Streptophyta; Magnoliopsida; Caryophyllales; Amaranthaceae. The record is from Rfam by way of RNAcentral.
CAGUGAGACAGUGGGGGAUAAGCUUCAUAGUCGAGAGGGAAACAACCCAGACAUCAACUAAGGUCCCCUAAGCGCGUGCUAAGUGGGAAAGGAUGUGGAGUUGCAGUAGACAACCAGGAGGUUGGCUUAGAAGCAGCCACCCUUGAAAGAGUGCGUAAUAGCUCACUGGUCAAGUGAUUCCGCGCCGACAAUGUAACGGGGCUCAAGCACACCACCGAAGUUGUAGAUUUCAUGUAUUAGCCCGGCUUAAGGUCCAGGCGCAUGGAGUGGUAGGAGAGCGUCGUGUGGCGAGUGAAGCGGCGGUGUAAACCAGCCGUGGACGCCACACGAGUGAGAAUGCAGGCAUGAGUAGCGAAAGACGGGUGAGAAACCCGUCCUCCGAAAGACCAAGGGUUCCAGGGUCAAGCUAAUCUUCCCUGGGUAAGUCGGGACCUAAGGCGAGGCCGACAGGCGUAGUCGAUGGACAACGGGUUGAUAUUCCCGUACGGCGAAGAACCGCCCAAAUCAAUCCAGUAGUGCUAAGAGUCCUAAUCCGGUAGAUGGAUCCCUUCGGGGUGAAGCGCCGGCCU